This 104-nucleotide non-coding RNA is filed under the name Paenibacillus naphthalenovorans. RNAcentral's name for it is "Guanine sequence". It matches the Rfam family "Purine riboswitch aptamer". Rfam says of the family: Riboswitches are metabolite binding domains within certain messenger RNAs that serve as precision sensors for their corresponding targets. Allosteric rearrangement of mRNA structure is mediated by ligand binding, and this results in modulation of gene expression. The record is from Rfam by way of RNAcentral. Lineage: Bacteria; Bacillati; Bacillota; Bacilli; Caryophanales; Paenibacillaceae.
GUAAAACCUCAUACAACAACUCGUAUAAUUUUGGGAAUAUGGCCCAUAAGUUUCUACCGGCCGACCACUAUAAUCGGCCGACUAUGAGUGAAAGCGCAUCUAGG